AUUAGCUAGUUGGUGGGGUAAGAGCCUACCAAGGCGACGAUCAGUAGCGGGUCUGAGAGGAUGAUCCGCCACACUGGGACUGAGACACGGCCCAGACUCCUACGGGAGGCAGCAGUGGGGAAUUUUGGACAAUGGGCGAAAGCCUGAUCCAGCCAUGCCGCGUGUAUGAAGAAGGCCUUCGGGUUGUAAAGUACUUUUGUUAGGGAAGAAAAGCUUAUUGCUAAUAUCAGUGAGCCAUGACGGUACCUAAAGAAUAAGCACCGGCUAACUACGUGCCAGCAGCCGCGGUAAUACGUAGGGUGCAAGCGUUAAUCGGAAUUACUGGGCGUAAAGCGAGCGCAGGCGGUUAUUUAAGUCAGGUGUGAAAGCCCCGAGCUCAACUUGGGACGUGCAUUUGAAACUGGAUAACUAGAGUGUGUCAGAGGGGGGUAGAAUUCCACGUGUAGCAGUGAAAUGCGUAGAGAUGUGGAGGAAUACCGAUGGCGAAGGCAGCCCCCUGGGAUAACACUGACGCUCAUGCUCGAAAGCGUGGGUAGCAAACAGGAUUAGAUACCCUGGUAGUCCACGCCCU
This 571-nucleotide ribosomal RNA is filed under the name uncultured bacterium. RNAcentral's name for it is "bacterial SSU rRNA". It matches the Rfam family "Bacterial small subunit ribosomal RNA", at positions 240 to 803 of the family's 1533-position model. The record is from RNAcentral.